This 170-nucleotide microRNA precursor is filed under the name Medicago truncatula (barrel medic). RNAcentral's name for it is "MIR2619 microRNA precursor family". It matches the Rfam family "MIR2619 microRNA precursor family". Lineage: Eukaryota; Viridiplantae; Streptophyta; Magnoliopsida; Fabales; Fabaceae. The record is from Rfam by way of RNAcentral.
AAAUCACCCCCUAAGUUUUGCAACUGUGGCAGUUUUGGCCCCCAAGGCCAAAAAAUAAAAUAAAAAAUAACACGUGGCACCUCACGUAGGGUGCCACAUCAGCGUAGACCGAGUCAAAAUUGGUCUUGGAGGUCAAAACUGCCACAGGUGCAAAACUUAGGGGGCGGUUU